UACGUAGGGUGCAAGCGUUGUCCGGAAUUAUUGGGCGUAAAGAGCUCGUAGGCGGUUUGUUGCGUCGGCUGUGAAAUCCCGAGGCUCAACCUCGGGUCUGCAGUCGAUACGAGCAAACUAGAGUGUUGCAGGGGAGACUGGAAUUCCCGGUGUAGCGGUGAAAUGCGCAGAUAUCGGGAAGAACACCCGUGGCUAAGGCGGCUCUCUAGUACGGUACUGACGCUGAGACGCGAAAGCGUGGGGGAGCGAACAGGG
Molecule: ribosomal RNA, 255 nt
Filed under: uncultured bacterium
Lineage: Bacteria
Description: partial 16S ribosomal RNA
Rfam family: Bacterial small subunit ribosomal RNA
Source: RNAcentral